AUGCACGCUGGCGGCGUGCCUCAUCCAUGCCAGUCGAGCGAACAGACGAGGAGCUUGCUCCUCUGACGUUAGCGGCGGACGGGUGAGUAACACGUGGAUAACCUACCUAUAAGACUGGGAUAACUUCGGGAAACCGGAGCUAAUACCGGAUAAUAUAUUGAACCGCAUGGUUCAAUAGUGAAAGACGGUUUUGCUGUCACUUAUAGAUGGAUCCGCGCCGCAUUAGCUAGUUGGUAAGGUAACGGCUUACCAAGGCGACGAUGCGUAGCCGACCUGAGAGGGUGAUCGGCCACACUGGAACUGAGACACGGUCCAGACUCCUACGGGAGGCAGCAGUAGGGAAUCUUCCGCAAUGGGCGAAAGCCUGACGGAGCAACGCCGCGUGAGUGAUGAAGGUCUUCGGAUCGUAAAACUCUGUUAUUAGGGAAGAACAAAUGUGUAAGUAACUAUGCACGUCUUGACGGUACCUAAUCAGAAAGCCACGGCUAACUACGUG
RNAcentral lists this ribosomal RNA (496 nucleotides) under uncultured bacterium. Its description in RNAcentral is "partial 16S ribosomal RNA". It matches the Rfam family "Bacterial small subunit ribosomal RNA", at positions 29 to 507 of the family's 1533-position model. The record is from RNAcentral.